GUGGGGAAUAUUGGACAAUGGGCGAAAGCCUGAUCCAGCCAUGCCGCGUGAGUGAUGAAGGCCUUAGGGUUGUAAAGCUCUUUCAGUAGGGAAGAUAAUGACGGUACCUACAGAAGAAGCCCCGGCUAACUUCGUGCCAGCAGCCGCGGUAAUACGAAGGGGGCUAGCGUUGUUCGGAUUUACUGGGCGUAAAGCGCACGUAGGCGGAUUGGUCAGUUAGAGGUGAAAUCCUGGGGCUCAACUCCAGAACUGCCUUUAAUACUGCCAGUCUAGAGUCCAGAAGAGGUGAGUGGAACUCCUAGUGUAGAGGUGGAAUUCGUAGAUAUUAGGAAGAACACCAGUGGCGAAGGCGGCUCACUGGUCUGGUACUGACGCUGAGGUGCGAAAGCGUGGGGAGCAAACAGGAUUAGAUACCCUUGUAGUCC
Molecule: ribosomal RNA, 425 nt
Filed under: uncultured bacterium
Lineage: Bacteria
Description: partial 16S ribosomal RNA
Rfam family: Bacterial small subunit ribosomal RNA
Source: RNAcentral